CCUACGGGAGGCAGCAGUGAGGGAUAUUGCACAAUGGAGGAAACUCUGAUGCAGCGACGCCGCGUGCGGGAAGACGGUCUUCGGAUUGUUAAACUCUGUCUUUGGGGGAGUAAAUGACGGUACCCAAAGAGGAAGUUCCGGCUAACUACGUGCCAGCAGCCGGGGUAAUCCGUAGGGAGCGCGCGUAGUCCGGAUUUACUGGGUGAAAGGGGAGCGUAGGCGGGCGUGAAAGUUGAUUGUUAACUCAGCCGGCUUAACUGGUAGCUGCGUUCAAAACGUCAUGUCUUGAGUGAAGUAAUGGCAGGCGGAAUUCCUAGUGUAGCGGUGAAAUGCGUAGAUAUUAUGAAGAACACCAGUUGCGAAGGCGACUGUCUGGAGUGUAACUGACACUGAGGCACGAAAGCGCGGGGAGCAAACAGGAUUAGAUACCCGAGUAGUC
RNAcentral lists this ribosomal RNA (439 nucleotides) under uncultured bacterium. RNAcentral's name for it is "partial 16S ribosomal RNA". It matches the Rfam family "Bacterial small subunit ribosomal RNA", at positions 338 to 795 of the family's 1533-position model. The record is from RNAcentral.